Molecule: unclassified non-coding RNA, 572 nt
Filed under: Hevea brasiliensis (rubber tree)
Lineage: Eukaryota; Viridiplantae; Streptophyta; Magnoliopsida; Malpighiales; Euphorbiaceae
Source: RNAcentral
UCCGGAUAGGCUAUAAUAAUACAAUAUUAACAAAAUAACACUAUGCCCACAAUCAUAAAUAUAAAAAAGCCCCUAAUUAAACACAAAUCACAAGCAUUAAAAGCAGACCUAAGCCUAACUAAUCAAAACCCAACAGAUAGGAAAUCCAAAAUGCCCAAUCUAAACCAAGAGCAAGAAUCGGGUCAUCACUCUUUCAAUCACCAAGGGAUGCCCUAGCUGCUGCUUGUAGCUUCCACCGCAUCUCCAUCACCGAAAGAAGAACCAGUGACUCCAUUACUGAGAAAACCUCCUCAACCAUUGAUUCUGGCAAACUGAAACUCAUAUGAGGCAAGAAGAGACCACCAAGCAUUGAGAAAGAGAGGUGCAGUUGUUUAAUCAGGGGCUAACAACAUCUCCAACCAAGACUUGAAAAAGCUACUUCAAACUAGAGAUCCAGAUGCAGAAGUAGUCUCUAGAUGACUAUGGUGGUGAAGACCAAAGCAGGGCCAAAUCGGGAGCAACAAAACAACCAAGGAGAGUGCAAGGAAACAUCCUACGGCCAAAGCCUACAUCAAAGAGGUUCCCAACAAAAG